UACGUAGGGUGCGAGCGUUGUCCGGAAUUAUUGGGCGUAAAGAGCUCGUAGGCGGUCUGUCGCGUCGAAUGUGAAAACCCGGGGCUCAACUCCGGGCUUGCAUUCGAUACGGGCAGACUAGAGUUCGGUAGGGGAGACUGGAAUUCCUGGUGUAGCGGUGGAAUGCGCAGAUAUCAGGAGGAACACCAAUAGCGAAGGCAGCUCGCUGGGACGUUACUGACACUGAGGCGCGAAAGCGUGGGGAGCGAACAGG
This 253-nucleotide ribosomal RNA is filed under the name uncultured bacterium. RNAcentral's name for it is "partial 16S ribosomal RNA". It matches the Rfam family "Bacterial small subunit ribosomal RNA", at positions 524 to 776 of the family's 1533-position model. The record is from RNAcentral.